Molecule: ribosomal RNA, 265 nt
Filed under: uncultured Veillonella sp.
Lineage: Bacteria; Bacillati; Bacillota; Negativicutes; Veillonellales; Veillonellaceae
Description: partial 16S ribosomal RNA
Rfam family: Bacterial small subunit ribosomal RNA
Source: RNAcentral
UCUUAGUGGCGAACGGGUGAGUAACGCGUAAUCAACCUGCCCUUCAGAGGGGGACAACAGUUGGAAACGACUGCUAAUACCGCAUACGAUCUAAUCUCGGCAUCGAGGAUGGAUGAAAGGUGGCCUCUAUUUAUAAGCUAUCACUGAAGGAGGGGAUUGCGUCUGAUUAGCUAGUUGGAGGGGUAACGGCCCACCAAGGCGAUGAUCAGUAGCCGGUCUGAGAGGAUGAACGGCCACAUUGGGACUGAGACACGGCCCAGACUCC